AACCUACGGGAGGCAGCAGUGAGGAAUAUUGGUCAAUGGCCGAGAGGCUGAACCAGCCAAGUCGCGUGAGGGAAGACGGCCCUACGGGUUGUAAACCUCUUUUGUCAGGGAGCUACGCCGGCUACGUGUAGCCGGACUGAGAGUACCUGAAGAAAAAGCAUCGGCUAACUCCGUGCCAGCAGCCGCGGUAAUACGGAGGAUGCGAGCGUUAUCCGGAUUUAUUGGGUUUAAAGGGUGCGUAGGCGGAAUGCCAAGUCAGCUGUAAAAUUGCGGGGCUCAACUU
Molecule: ribosomal RNA, 283 nt
Filed under: uncultured bacterium
Lineage: Bacteria
Description: partial 16S ribosomal RNA
Rfam family: Bacterial small subunit ribosomal RNA
Source: RNAcentral